This 418-nucleotide ribosomal RNA is filed under the name uncultured bacterium. RNAcentral's name for it is "partial 16S ribosomal RNA". It matches the Rfam family "Bacterial small subunit ribosomal RNA", at positions 355 to 764 of the family's 1533-position model. The record is from RNAcentral.
UGGGGAAUAUUGCACAAUGGGCGCAAGCCUGAUGCAGCCAUGCCGCGUGUGUGAAGAAGGCCUUCGGGUUGUAAAGCACUUUCAGCGAGGAGGAAGGGUAGUGUGUUAAUAGCACAUUGCAUUGACGUUACUCGCAGAAGAAGCACCGGCUAACUCCGUGCCAGCAGCCGCGGUAAUACGGAGGGUGCAAGCGUUAAUCGGAAUUACUGGGCGUAAAGCGCACGCAGGCGGUUUGUUAAGUCAGAUGUGAAAUCCCCGCGCUUAACGUGGGAACUGCAUUUGAAACUGGCAAGCUAGAGUCUUGUAGAGGGGGGUAGAAUUCCAGGUGUAGCGGUGAAAUGCGUAGAGAUCUGGAGGAAUACCGGUGGCGAAGGCGGCCCCCCUGGACAAAGACUGACGCUCAGGUGCGAAAGCGUGG